UCUUGGCCUUUCAUCUCACAUCUUGGAGAAUCUCUAAGCCCACUUGAAAUCACAGGCCUCCUCCAAGCUGUGGCAGACUGCAGACCAUCAGCUGGCCCAUCGCGCUUGAGCAAGAGACAAGGCCAAGUCCCCAGCGUUCUCUGCUGGCCUCCUUCUAAACCAGACACCGGACACAGAUUCUUGGAGCCCCCACCGUUUGGUUUUAACAGGACUGUGGCUUGCCCUCAAAGCCUUCUCAUGGUGAUCAGACCUAGGUAGAUGUCCCUGCCCCGUGAGCUGAGCAGGACUUUUCUGAAUCCAGAGAGAGAUUUGUGCCUAUGAGAGAACAUGCCAGGGAGUAUGCUGCCUCCAAAGAUCGGGACAUGCACCUGCUGUGAAGGCAGUUCUUGUGGGUGCGGUCUAGGAGUCUCCUCUUGCACUCCUGCUUCUUGGCCUGUAAAAUCAAACUUUCCUUCAAGGCCUUACUCAAACCUCCUUCUCCUGUAACAGUCAGAUUCCUAGUCAGCUUCCUUGAUUCCUUUUCCACCUGCCUCCUCACAUUGUGAGGCCAUGGUUCUCAGCUGUGCUGAAGUAAAUUAUGAGGUCACUUAUAAGUGAGGCCUUACAAGUGACCAUAACCUUGCUUGAUUUACAAACAUAAGCAAAGCUUAACUUGAGCUAUUUCUUGUAAAUGCCUAUUUUAAAGAAAACUGAGGCCAGGCAUGGUGGCUUAUGCCUGAAAUCCCAGUGCCUUGGAAAGCCAAGGUGGGAGGAUCACUUGAGGCCAGGAGUUCAAG
This 776-nucleotide long non-coding RNA is filed under the name Homo sapiens (human). Its description in RNAcentral is "HSALNT0162366". The record is from RNAcentral. Lineage: Eukaryota; Metazoa; Chordata; Mammalia; Primates; Hominidae.